UAAUUAAAAAUAAAUUUUUAUUUAUUAAUUAAAACUUAAAUUACAAAUAAAUAUAACACUAAACCAGAAUUAAAAAAUUAAAUACACCAAAACACAUUAAACCAAAACUAAUUAAACACACAUAAAACCAAACCUAAUUAACAAAACCUAAACCUAAGCCGCUGCAUAUCAGCUGCGCCUUCGUCUCCGUCACCACAGCGCUUCAACGUCACCAUCUUCCAGCCACAUACCACUUCUUCUACACCGACGCCGCAACCGGCUCUGGAUGCUAUGGCUGAAGAAAUGAUUCAAUCUGGUGUUGGAGCCACCGUUCGAGCCAAAUCUUCCGUUUCCUCCAUAGAAUCUCAUGUCUUCUCCACAUUCUAAAAAAAACAAAUCAGUAUGUAAACACAUACACGAUGAAUUUUAUCAACAGAUCUAAGAUAUAAUCAACAGAUGGAGGUGGUGGCGCCUCCUUCUCCUCUGCCAAAUCUUCUGUCUCCUCCGUAAAUUCUCAUGUCUCCUCCACAUUCCAAAACAGCAAAUCAGUAUGUAGACAAAUAAAAAAUGAAUCUUAUCAACAGUUCUAAGGAGAGUCAAACGAAAACAACUUACACAAAUUCGGAAAUAAAGGAGACAGAUUUCGUUUUAGCUGAUGGGAUUGAGACAUGAACCAACGAGGUGAGAAGUGGAGUCCUUCGUAAAAGAUGGAGAAUUUUUCUGGGUUUCUUAGGGUUUAUUCCAGAGAAGAAGAAAAGAUGGAUUCAUUUUUUUUUUCAAGUUUACGACGGUAGAAGAGGAGAGGAGCAGAGAUCGAGAAAGAGAGGAAACCAUUAAAAAAAGAAGCAAAUAUU
Molecule: long non-coding RNA, 833 nt
Filed under: Brassica napus (rape)
Lineage: Eukaryota; Viridiplantae; Streptophyta; Magnoliopsida; Brassicales; Brassicaceae
Description: long non-coding RNA (BNAP_LNC012371)
Source: RNAcentral